ACCGGCGAAUGGGUGAGUAACGCGUAUCCAACCUGCCCGCAAGCGGGGAAUAGGCUUUCGAAAGAAAGAUUAAUACCCCAUGUACUCCUCACCAGUCAUCUAAAGAGGAGCAAAGAUUUAUCGCUUGCGGAUGGGGAUGCGUCUGAUUAGGCAGUUGGCGGGUUAACAGCCCACCAAACCGACCAUCAUUAGGGGUUCUGAGAGGAAGGUCCCCCCCAUUGGAACUGAUACACGGUCCAAACUCCUACGGGAGGCAGCAUUGAGGAAUAUUGGUCAAUGGGCGAGAGCCUGAACCAGCCAAGUAGCGUGCUCGAUGAGGGCCCUAUGGGUUGUAAACUGCUUUUGAAGGGGAGUAUAGUGAUUGACGAGUCACUCAUUGCAAGUACCCUUGGAAUAAGGACCGGCUAAUUCCGUGCCAGCAGCCGCGAUAAUACGGAAGGUCCGGGCGUUAUCCGGAUUUAUUGGGUCUAAAGGGAGCGUACGCGGCCUUUCAAGCAUGUUGAGAAAUGCAAUGGCCCAACCACUG
This 526-nucleotide ribosomal RNA is filed under the name uncultured Prevotella sp. Its description in RNAcentral is "bacterial SSU rRNA". It matches the Rfam family "Bacterial small subunit ribosomal RNA", at positions 94 to 618 of the family's 1533-position model. Lineage: Bacteria; Pseudomonadati; Bacteroidota; Bacteroidia; Bacteroidales; Prevotellaceae. The record is from RNAcentral.